RNAcentral lists this ribosomal RNA (2148 nucleotides) under Triticum aestivum (bread wheat). RNAcentral describes it as "partial small subunit ribosomal RNA". The record is from RNAcentral. Lineage: Eukaryota; Viridiplantae; Streptophyta; Magnoliopsida; Poales; Poaceae.
AUGAUGCCAGGCAACAAAAAGAACAAAGUUAAGAGCAUCGACAAUGUGAUUAAAAGGUUAGGCAAGGUGACAGGGGCCAUAAAGAAGGGCACCGGUGCAGCAGCUUCCACACAGGUGGGCAGGGCCAAACCUGCUCAGCGAGCCACGGUGGAUAGUACCCAGGGUAGACGAUGUGGUCGUACCACUGUAUCCCGUGUUGCUAGCCCUAUCCCCUCCGCCGAUUCUGAGGACGAGUCAGAGGAGGAUGCAGAGGAGGAGCCAGUUGUGGAGGUGGAGCAGACGAGGUCUCGUCGUGAUUGGCAGCAUGUGGAAGGGUCAUCACGUGGUGCGACUCAGGAGGAGGAGGAGGAGGAGGAGGAGGAGGGGGAGGAGUUGGAGGAGGGAGAGUAUGAGGUGGAGGUAUCGGCAAAGGACAUGGAAUGGCCGGUUCCUAAGGAGACCAAAAUAUGGUUGCGUGGGGUGUCCACGCUCCCUUCGCGACCAUAUCCACAUAAGGGGCUCAUUGUCAAACCAGUCAGUGUGAGGGCCUUGCUGGUUGUAGGAGAAGACAUAAAGGUGCCACGCCAGCCAAGUAGCAUCAUUGGAUGUCUUUGCAGGCACUAUUACCCUGGCCUGGUCCCCAUAGGAGAUGGUGAGGAGGAGCCAGCUUGGUCUUGGGAGCAUUGGAAACGCGCUCCAGAUACUAAAGACAAGUGGGACAGGGAGUACAACAAUGCUGCUGACCGGGACUUCUUUACUUGUGCCAAGGGUAUGAAGGAUGAAGCUAAUGAGGUCGUGGAGGCGAUUGCCAAGAAGAUUGUCCAAGACAUGCACUAUGAGGGGCGCGUCGAUGCCGUGGUGAAGUAUUUCGCGCAUGAACGCAACAUGCUUCUCAAAAAGCAACUAGCCCGGAGAGUCCAUCUCACCCGUUCGAUGUACAUGAAGGCAGUUCCCCCGUGGUGCAACAACAAGAUUCCUUGCUAUCAGCAAAUCAUAUCCAGGUGGAUAAACCCGGAGUGGAGGGUCACACAUAGAGCGUGUUCGGAGCGGCGUGCCUUGAUGGGUGGUCCGGUACACCUUCAAGGCAACCUCAACCUCCACGCUUACGUGCAGAAGAAGAAUAGGGAGAGAGGCGAGGGAGAACAACCUCUCAAUAGCUUCAUGGGAUUAUGUCUUUCCCGCACGUCAAAGAAACCUGAAGGGGGGUGGGUCAACCCUGGCGCUGGUUCGAGGAUUAAAGCAUAUAGUGGGAAGUUCAAGGAGUGCAACGGGCCCGACUCUGAUCCGGCCUCACAGGACAUUGACGUCAUGGUUUCCCUCAUGUCGGGAGAAGGCAGGAAGGGUGGCCGGUUAUAUGUUGGUGAUGGUGCCAUCCGUAAGAAGGACAUUCCAAAACUCGCCCACCUCCGUGCUACGACCUCGAGCUCAGGUCCUGCUAUAGAGUGUCGCCCACAUCCUGGGUUGGGCAUGCUACAUCAAUUCGAGGCACGCCUAGAGGAACAAAACAAGUUGCGCAGGAAGAAACCAAGUUGCGGCAGGAGGCUUAGGCCAAUGCCCAACUUCGACAGGACCAAGCCAUGAAAAUGCAACAAGCCCUCUUGCAACAACAGGAAUUCAUGGUCAAACAACAGUUAGCCCUGCAGGAGACAUUCACUCGGUUGAGAGCUAAUAUGCAGGGUUCUACUUGGCCAGAUCUUCCUCCUCUUCCGCCUCUUCCUACUUUUAGCUUUUGUUCUCAGUCGGGACAACACUCAAAUAACUUCGUGGUACCUGGAUCCAUACCUACCCAAGCAAGCCCAGUGACUCCCACUACGGCUCAUGGCGCUUCGACCUCCUUGCAACAAUAAUCACUCGAGGUUUGCAUCGUGGAUGCCAUUGACGGUGGGCAUACAUGCUACGGUGGAGCUCAUUGCAUCUUUCAGGUUCAUGCUUAGUGUGAACUUGGAACUCAUGCUUUUGUUUGUGAACCUUGUUGGAUAUGCACGCAUGUUGUUGUGAACCUUGUUGGAUGUGCACGCAUGUUGUUGUGAACCUUGUUGGAUAUGUACCUGUGUGGACUUUGACCUCAUGGUCAAUUUGUUAUGGUUGUCAAGUUGUAAUAUAUUGUUGGACAAUUUAGCUUGCUGGAUAUGUACCUUGUUGCAUCUAUAUAUUGACAAUUUAGCUUGC